ACGCGAGCUGGGUUCAGAACGUCGUGAGACAGUUCGGUCCCUAUCCGUCGCAGGCGUAGGAAAUUUGAGACGACCUGUCCUUAGUACGAGAGGACCGGGAUGGACGUACCUCUGGUGUACCAGUUGUCCUGCCAAGGGCAUGGCUGGGUAGCUAUGUAUGGAAUGGAUAAGCGCUGAAAGCAUCUAAGCGCGAAGCCAACUUCAAGAUAAGAUUUCCCACCGCAAGGGUAAGACCCCAGAAAGACUAUCUGGUUGAUAGGUCGAAGGUGUAAGUGCAGCAAUGUAUUUAGCUUAUCGAUACUAAUAGGUCGAGGACUUGACCAA
This 324-nucleotide ribosomal RNA is filed under the name Clostridioides difficile. Its description in RNAcentral is "bacterial LSU rRNA". It matches the Rfam family "Bacterial large subunit ribosomal RNA", at positions 2598 to 2925 of the family's 2925-position model. The record is from RNAcentral. Lineage: Bacteria; Bacillati; Bacillota; Clostridia; Peptostreptococcales; Peptostreptococcaceae.